This is a long non-coding RNA of Cyprinus carpio (common carp), 692 nucleotides long. NCBI's taxonomy places the organism in Eukaryota, Metazoa, Chordata, Actinopteri, Cypriniformes, Cyprinidae. The record is from Ensembl.
CAGCUGUCUGGAUUCUGAAAAGGCGGAGGCUGCUGCAAAGAAAGCUGGACAGGAAAUGUGGAAAGGCCAGCUAGUUGUCACAUUCGGCAAAUAUGCAGGACAGUAUUUCAGUUGGCUGCUUGAAAAUGAUGUGGGCUGGGUCAUAUGGCUGCUGUCUGAAUAUUGCCAGAAGAGUGAGAAGAACGAUCUCCUAAAGUGGCAAAAGGAACGAUUGCUGCAGUAUGCCAGAGAGGUCCCGCCUGUCACCUUUCAUCUUGACAAACGUUUGGAGGAGUCAAGGAAAGACAAAGGAAAGAAGGCUGAAUCUACCCUUUCUAAGUUCUAGCAGGAUCUUGACUAUGCCAGUGAUGCUGAAUUGUUGGCAGCUGCUGAGACUGUCCUUGAAGAGUCUGAGGUAGCGGUCUCCACACAGCUGACCACCUGGGGAGAGCUCACACCGGCUGUGAGUCAGGACUCUUCCCUGAGCCUCAGCACAUCUCAGGGAAGACCUUCUUCCCCUGUAGACACCUCUGCCUCAGAAACCGGUAACAUCUUGCUGGAGGGCUGGCAGAAAUACUGGGAGCAUCCACCUCCAUCUACACAAGCCAAUGGUAUAGCUCCUCCUAACAUCAAGUGGCUGAAAUGUGAUGAGAUGUAUGGUCUGUUUUAGAGGCCUUUCAAGUACAAGAAUGCCAAAGGAGAGAUUGUGGAGA